Molecule: long non-coding RNA, 1356 nt
Filed under: Homo sapiens (human)
Lineage: Eukaryota; Metazoa; Chordata; Mammalia; Primates; Hominidae
Description: HSALNT0349056
Source: RNAcentral
UUCCUGAGUGAAGUGUACGCAGAAGGCAUGGCUUCUCAGCUGUUCCUCUAAGCAGCGGCUCUUUCCACCCAUCUGGAGAUUUAGAUUCUAGAGUUCGGUAUCACAUUUGCCUGCAGAUUUGUUAAGAAUGCAGGCAGGGAAGACGGAUUCUGUUCAAUGACCCCCUUCAAGACUCCAGUGAAGUUCAGGAUCUGGCAGAGGGGAUGGAUUUAUAUAGAAGUGGGGCAACUGACACACAGAGGUAUUAAGCCCAAGGUCACUCUGUCCAUGAAUGAUGAAGCCAGUUGUGAACAGCCUACAACCAGAGCCUGGGCUCUUAAAUAUCAGGCUUUGCUGGCUUUGAUGAGUAGAUCUUUAUAUGAAGGCAAGUUCUUCCCCAUUGUGAAGGCACAUUGUGAAGGCACAUUCCCUGUAUGGAUAGGAAAAUAACACAGCACUGAAGUGUCUGCUAGGAUGGAAAAGUAAAUAUGAAAAAACCAAGGCUAUGACAAAAUGCUGAAUUAGAGUAUGUUCAAAUCAUAGCUACUCUAUAGGCUCAACCAGUAUAAGCACUGUUCCUAAUUGGUAAACCUAGAAGCGCAUUCUCCACCUGGAGGAUCUAGUGAGGUUUAAUCAAAAUAGUUUGUGUGAAAGUGACUGUUGUCUCAUAGAGACCCAGUAAAAGUUUGAUUUCUUGAAUAAUACAAGUUGGCAUAUGUUGCCCCUCAUACAUGUCCUAUUUUACUUACGUAUAAUGCUUUAAGGCAGAAAUUUAAAGUGCUUUAUGAAUGUUUUCUUAUUACUCAUAGCCCAGCUGCAAACUGUUGACAAAUAAUUUGUCCAGUUUGGAAAAAGUUUGUAAGGUUGGAGAAAACAGAAUUGAGAAAGGACAAAUAAUAAGUAUAAAGAAGAAAUCAUCUUUAUUAUAGUGUUUUCCUGUGGACAGAUGUUAUUACUAGUGUUAGUACUAAAGUUUUCAUUACCCAAUUAAUUAAUUCAGCGAUAUUUACUACAUGUUGUUCUCAGUGUCUGAGGUUAUUUAGAUGCUAGAGAUAGAGCCAGCCGUGGAUGAGACAGAUCAUAAUCAGGUCCAUCCUGGAGUUUACCUUUUAGGAGAUGGAGAGAAAGACAAUAAACAAGUAAAAUAAGCAAAUGAACUAGAGAAAGCCUGGUAGUGUUGAGUUCUAAUGGGUUAGCUAAGAGGAUAUGGUUUAGAGUUGAAUUAGAAUCAACCCUCAGAAUUUAUUUUGCUGAUCCUAAAGGACAACUUGACACUUAUAAAAUAUUAAUCUUGCCAUAAAAAUGUCAACUAUAUUGCUGUAGAGAAUCUCCAAUGAAGUUCUUUGUGAUCAGAGGACUAUAUAAUGAUGAUCAAUU